GCCCACAGUUGCCAGCGUACUCUCUGGAGUGACGGGUACACUGUGGGGACCGCCGCUGCUAAAGCGGAGGAAGGAAUGGGCAACGGUAGGUCAGUAUGCCCCGAAUAUCCCGGGCUACACGCGAGCUACAAUGGUUGGUACAAUGGGUAUCUACCCCGAAAGGGGACGGGAAUCUCCUAAAACCAAUCUUAGUUCGGAUUGAGGGCUGCAACUCGCCCUCAUGAAGCUGGAAUCCGUAGUAAUCGCGUUUCAACAGAACGCGGUGAAUACGUCCCUGCUCCUU
This 283-nucleotide ribosomal RNA is filed under the name uncultured Methanosaeta sp. Its description in RNAcentral is "partial 16S ribosomal RNA". It matches the Rfam family "Archaeal small subunit ribosomal RNA", at positions 1056 to 1338 of the family's 1478-position model. Lineage: Archaea; Methanobacteriati; Methanobacteriota; Methanomicrobia; Methanotrichales; Methanotrichaceae. The record is from RNAcentral.